AGAGACAGAACUCGAUUGGUUGAGUGUCCCCCUUUUAAGGAGAAGGUCCUGGUUCAAUUCCAGGUGUUUCUA
RNAcentral lists this transfer RNA (72 nucleotides) under Phanerochaete carnosa. RNAcentral's name for it is "tRNA-Lys". It matches the Rfam family "tRNA". From Rfam's summary of the family: Transfer RNA (tRNA) molecules are approximately 80 nucleotides in length. The record is from RNAcentral. Lineage: Eukaryota; Fungi; Basidiomycota; Agaricomycetes; Polyporales; Phanerochaetaceae.